This is a long non-coding RNA of Passer montanus (Eurasian tree sparrow), 517 nucleotides long. RefSeq lists it as uncharacterized. The transcript is spliced from 3 exons. The record is from RefSeq and is a predicted model, not a curated record. NCBI's taxonomy places the organism in Eukaryota, Metazoa, Chordata, Aves, Passeriformes, Passeridae.
CAGGAUUAUGAGAAAGUAAUUGUGCAUUGAAAAUUUUAAGUUGCAUCUGAAGAAUUUUUAAGAGAAGCUUUGCAGAAAAAUUGAAAGGUUUCCUGCUUCUGAAAUACUACUGAAAUAAAACCAGAAGAUAAUUUAGAUUGGAGACGACCUCUGGAGCUCACCUGGUCCAAACCCUGUCAAACCAACUUUGAAGCUGGAUCUAAUUUCAAAGUUUGAUGAACUCGCUUAUUAUCUUCUUUGACUGAUUUUUUAAUAUUUGAAGACAGAUUCAACAAGCAUUGUGUGACCCAGUUGUGGAUUAUGAGCAGCAGCAGCAGCAUCAGUGAUACGCAACACUGCACUUCUGGAUGAUGUAUCAGAACCAGAUUAGUCAAACAUCCCUAUGUGAUUGUGCAAGUAUGUACUGACAUCUGGUGGACGUUUGACCAAACACUUCAAUAAACCAUUGCAACUACAUAAUGCUUAUUCAAAAAAAGUACUUACAGUGGGUUUCAUUGUAUUAGUUCUGAGUGAUUUU